This 212-nucleotide small RNA is filed under the name Mammaliicoccus sciuri. RNAcentral's name for it is "Staphylococcus sciuri Bacillus sRNA ncr1575". It matches the Rfam family "Bacillus sRNA ncr1575". Lineage: Bacteria; Bacillati; Bacillota; Bacilli; Caryophanales; Staphylococcaceae. The record is from Rfam by way of RNAcentral.
AAAUAAAUAGACGAAAGGACUGACUGUAUAAUAAUGAUUUACUAAUUCAACUUAUUUGAAAUAAAUAUUUCAAACUCUAAGUUAUAGGAUUAGUCUGAUCAUUUUUAUAAGUCGGUUUGUGACACCUAUUGCGUCAAAUGCUGUUGGUACAAUAGGGACUUUUAAAUAUGAGACCAGAUUAAUCCUUCCAAAUUCUUUGGAAGGAUUUUUAU